AAACCAGACUCCUACGGGAGGCAGCAGUGAGGAAUAUUGGUCAAUGGCCGAGAGGCUGAACCAGCCAAGUCGCGUGAGGGAAGACGGUCCUAUGGAUUGUAAACCUCUUUUGUCGGGGAGCAAAAGACGCCACGCGUGGCGUUCCGAGAGUACCCGAAGAAAAAGCAUCGGCUAACUCCGUGCCAGCAGCCGCGGUAAUACGGAGGAUGCGAGCGUUAUCCGGAUUUAUUGGGUUUAAAGGGUGCGCAGGCGGAGGCGAAGCUCGGGGGUAAAUUUGGGGGCCUCACCCUCUGCCCGCCGUUGAAACUGCGUUUCUUGAGUGGGCGAGAAGUACGCGGAAUGCGUGGUGUAGCGGUGAAAUGCAUAGAUAUCACGCAGAACUCCGAUUGCGAAGGCAGCGUACCGGCGCCCAACUGACGCUCAUGCACGAAAGCGUGGGUAUCGAACAGGAUUAGAUACCCGAGUA
RNAcentral lists this ribosomal RNA (466 nucleotides) under uncultured bacterium. RNAcentral's name for it is "bacterial SSU rRNA". It matches the Rfam family "Bacterial small subunit ribosomal RNA", at positions 328 to 792 of the family's 1533-position model. The record is from RNAcentral.